GACGAACGCUGGCGGCGUGCUUAACACAUGCAAGUCGAACGGUAAGGCCCUUUCGGGGGUACACGAGUGGCGAACGGGUGAGUAACACGUGGGUGACCUGCCCCCUACUCUGGGAUAAGCCUGGGAAACUGGGUCUAAUACCGGAUAUGACAUGUUCCUGCAUGGGGAUGUGUUGAAAGUUUUUCGGCUGGGGAUGGGCCCGCGGCCUAUCAGCUCGUUGGUGGGGUGAUGGCCUACCAAGGCGACGACGGGUAGCCGGCCUGAGAGGGCGACCGGCCACACUGGGACUGAGACACGGCCCAGACUCCUACGGGAGGCAGCAGUGGGGAAUAUUGCGCAAUGGGCGGAAGCCUGACGCAGCGACGCCGCGUGAGGGAUGACGGCCUUCGGGUUGUAAACCUCUUUCAGCUCUGACGAAGCGAGAGUGACGGUAGGAGCAGAAGAAGCACCGGCCAACUACGUGCCAGCAGCCGCGGUAAUACGUAGGGUGCAAGCGUUGUCCGGAAUUAUUGGGCAUAAAGAGCUCGUAGGCGGUUUGUCGCGUCGAAUGUGAAAACCCGGGGCUCAACUCCGGGCCUGCAUUCGAUACGGGCAGACUAGAGUUCGGUAGGGGAGACUGGAAUUCCUGGUGUAGCGGUGAAAUGCGCAGAUAUCAGAGGAACACCGGUGGCGAAAGGCGGGUCUCUGGGCCGAUACUGACGCUGAGGAGCGAAAGCGUGGGGAGCGAACAGGAUUAGAUACCCUGGUAGUCCACGCCGUAAACGUUGGGCGCUAGGUGUGGGGGUCCUUCCACGACCUCCGUGCCGCAGCUAACGCAUUAAGCGCCCCGCCUGGGGAGUACGGCCGCAAGGCUAA
Molecule: ribosomal RNA, 855 nt
Filed under: uncultured bacterium
Lineage: Bacteria
Description: bacterial SSU rRNA
Rfam family: Bacterial small subunit ribosomal RNA
Source: RNAcentral